This 255-nucleotide long non-coding RNA is filed under the name Theobroma cacao (cacao). Its description in RNAcentral is "long non-coding RNA (TCAC_LNC004469)". The record is from RNAcentral. Lineage: Eukaryota; Viridiplantae; Streptophyta; Magnoliopsida; Malvales; Malvaceae.
UCCAAUUACUCUAUUUUUGAAACCAAUAUUCGAUUUUCCAAAAAAUUUAUAAAAUCAUUUUAUAAAAUCACAAUUUCUCUUAAAACAUAGCAAUUUACCAUUUAAACCCAUUUUCCAUAAAAUCACACAGUUGUAUAAAACUACUCUAGAUAAUUAAGACGAUAAUAAGUUUACUCACAGUAUUAGGAGUAGAAAUACUCCUAUUUUCCGCCCUCGGGUGCAGUCUCUUACCCGAAACAAUUGACUCACCACCUA